GUGCCAGCCGCCGCGGUAAUACGGAGGGGGCCAGCGUUGUUCGGAAUUACUGGGCGUAAAGGGCGCGUAGGCGGCCGCGCAAGUCGGUUGUGAAAUCCCUCGGCUCAACCGAGGAACUGCGUCCGAAACUGCGCGGCUCGAGUCCCGGAGAGGGUAGCGGAAUUCCCAGUGUAGCGGUGAAAUGCGUAGAUAUUGGGAGGAACACCAGUGGCGAAGGCGGCUACCUGGACGGGUACUGACGCUGAGGCGCGAAAGCUAGGGGAGCAAACAGGAUUAGAAACCCCAGUAGUCC
This 292-nucleotide ribosomal RNA is filed under the name uncultured bacterium. RNAcentral's name for it is "partial 16S ribosomal RNA". It matches the Rfam family "Bacterial small subunit ribosomal RNA", at positions 505 to 796 of the family's 1533-position model. The record is from RNAcentral.